GACGAACGCUGGCGGCGUGCUUAACACAUGCAAGUCGAACGGGCCCGCCCCUGUUUUUGGGGGUGGGUUGAGUGGCGAACGGGUGAGUAUCACGUGAGUAACCUGCCCCCUGCUCCUGGAUAACUGCUUGAAAGGGCGGCUAAUACGGGGUGUGCCGGCUGGUCCGCAUGGGCCUGGUCGGGAUAGUUUCAUCUUCGGGUGUUUCGGUGGGGGAUGGGCUCGCGGCCUAUCAGCUUGUUGGUGGGGUGAUGGCCCACCAAGGCGGUGACGGGUAGCCGGCCUGAGAGGGUGGGCGGCCCCGCUGGGACGGAGACACGGCCCAGACUCCUGCGGGAGGCAGCAGUGGGGGGUAUUGCACAAUGGGCGGAAGCCUGAUGCAGCGACGUCGCGUGAGGGAUGGAGGCCUUCGGGUUGUGAACCUCUUUCUCCGGUGGUGAAGGCCCUGUCCGUUGCGGCGGGGUUGACGGUAGCCGGGUAUGAAGCGCCGGCUAACUACGUG
Molecule: ribosomal RNA, 499 nt
Filed under: uncultured bacterium
Lineage: Bacteria
Description: partial 16S ribosomal RNA
Rfam family: Bacterial small subunit ribosomal RNA
Source: RNAcentral